GCCUCUAUAGCUCAGCCGGUUAGAGCGCAACAUUGGUAAUGUUGAGGUCCCGCGUUCAAGUCGCGGUAGAGGCU
RNAcentral lists this transfer RNA (74 nucleotides) under Nanobdellota archaeon. Its description in RNAcentral is "tRNA-Thr". It matches the Rfam family "tRNA". From Rfam's summary of the family: Transfer RNA (tRNA) molecules are approximately 80 nucleotides in length. Their secondary structure includes four short double-helical elements and three loops (D, anti-codon, and T loops). Further hydrogen bonds mediate the characteristic L-shaped molecular structure. tRNAs have two regions of fundamental functional importance: the anti-codon, which is responsible for specific mRNA codon recognition, and the 3' end, to which the tRNAs corresponding amino acid is attached (by aminoacyl-tRNA synthetases). tRNAs cope with the degeneracy of the genetic code in two manners: having more than one tRNA (with a specific anti-codon) for a particular amino acid; and 'wobble' base-pairing, i.e. permitting non-standard base-pairing at the 3rd anti-codon position. Lineage: Archaea; Nanobdellati; Nanobdellota. RNAcentral also lists the same sequence under 1 other name. The record is from RNAcentral.